RNAcentral lists this ribosomal RNA (484 nucleotides) under uncultured bacterium. RNAcentral's name for it is "partial 16S ribosomal RNA". It matches the Rfam family "Bacterial small subunit ribosomal RNA", at positions 29 to 507 of the family's 1533-position model. The record is from RNAcentral.
AUUGAACGCUGGCGGAAUGCUUUACACAUGCAAGUCGAGCGGCAGCGCGGCCUUCGGGCUGGCGGCGAGCGGCGAACGGGUGAGUAAUGCAUCGGAACAUGCCCAGUCGUGGGGGAUAACACUUCGAAAGAAGUGCUAAUACCGCAUACGUCCUGAGGGGGAAAGCGGGGGAUCGCAAGACCUCGCGCGAUUGGAGUGGCCGAUGUCAGAUUAGCUAGUUGGUGGGGUAAAGGCCUACCAAGGCGACGAUCUGUAGCUGGUCUGAGAGGAUGAUCAGCCACACUGGGACUGAGACACGGCCCAGACUCCUACGGGAGGCAGCAGUGGGGAAUUUUGGACAAUGGGGGCAACCCUGAUCCAGCCAUUCCGCGUGAGUGAAGAAGGCCUUCGGGUUGUAAAGCUCUUUCGGCAGGAACGAAACGGUGGGCUCUAACAUAGUCCGCUAACGACGGUACCUGAAGAAGAAGCACCGGCUAACUACGUG